AGUGAACGCUGGCGGUAGGCCUAACACAUGCAAGUCGAACGGCAGCACAGUAAGAGCUUGCUCUUACGGGUGGCGAGUGGCGGACGGGUGAGGAAUACAUCGGAAUCUACUUUUUCGUGGGGGAUAACGUAGGGAAACUUACGCUAAUACCGCAUACGACCUACGGGUGAAAGCAGGGGAUCUUCGGACCUUGCGCGAUUGAAUGAGCCGAUGUCGGAUUAGCUAGUUGGCGGGGUAAAGGCCCACUAAGGCGACGAUCCGUAGCUGGUCUGAGAGGAUGAUCAGCCACACUGGAACUGAGACACGGUCCAGACUCCUACGGGAGGCAGCAGUGGGGAAUAGUGGACAAUGGGCGCAAGCCUGAUCCAGCCAUACCGCGUGGGUGAAGAAGGCCUUCGGGUUGUAAAGCCCUUUUGUUGGGAAAGAAAAGCAGCAGGUUAAUACCCCGCUGUUCUGACGGUACCCAAAGAAUAAGCACCGGCUAACUUCGUG
Molecule: ribosomal RNA, 492 nt
Filed under: uncultured bacterium
Lineage: Bacteria
Description: partial 16S ribosomal RNA
Rfam family: Bacterial small subunit ribosomal RNA
Source: RNAcentral